This 292-nucleotide ribosomal RNA is filed under the name uncultured bacterium. RNAcentral's name for it is "partial 16S ribosomal RNA". It matches the Rfam family "Bacterial small subunit ribosomal RNA", at positions 505 to 796 of the family's 1533-position model. The record is from RNAcentral.
GUGCCAGCAGCCGCGGUAAUACGUAGGUGGCGAACGUUAUCCGGAAUUACUGGGCGUAAAGGGUCCGCAGGCGGGUCACCAAGUCCGGCGUGAAAGCUCCCGGCUCAACUGGGAGAGGGCGUUGGAAACUGGUGGUCUUGAAUCUCAGAGAGGUCGGUGGAAUUCCCGGUGUAGUGGUGGAAUGCGUAGAGAUCGGGAGGAACCUCGAAAGCGAAGGCAACCGGCUGGCUGAAGAUUGACGCUGAGGGACGAAAGCGUGGGGAGCGAACAGGAUUAGAUACCCGGGUAGUCC